Molecule: long non-coding RNA, 697 nt
Organism: Dermochelys coriacea (leatherback sea turtle)
Lineage: Eukaryota; Metazoa; Chordata; Testudines; Dermochelyidae
Exons: 3
Source: RefSeq, a predicted model, not a curated record
CAAAGGGGUCUCUAAACAAGAGGGAAAGGCCAUCUGGACACAUAAAGCCUUCCAAUUGCUCUGCAGUCAUUUCUAGGAUGUGUGGCUAAGGUGGGGCUGCCAGACUUUUAUGGCCUUCUUAUGGGUUGGUUGUUAUGUAGGGGUGGUAGUUAAAAUCAAAUGCAGCCUUAUUUGCUGAGACUCGGUGAUGGGGAACUACAUAUUAACCACUCUUAGACAAGACUGAACAUUUCUCCCCUGCCGCUUUAAUACUGUAACCAUGACACCAGUUAGAUUUAAAAAAAAAAAAGAAAAGAAACAUAUUUAGCUACUGUACUAAUGAUCAGCUUAUGAAAAAGUUCAGAUCCCACUCAGGUAUCUAAAUGAAGUGAUCAUAGCUCCAAAGGUGUCAGCACACAGUUGCUCCUGUGUUGAUAGGACAAUAUCUCCCACUGACUCAGUGAAACUAUUGUAAAUAUUUGUUCACAUUUUUGUGUCCAUGAAAACUGGAAUUUCAGACAUUCCAGUAUUCAUUUAUCCCUUCUACUGACUACCUCCAUGCACAAGUGCUUUCUAGUGUCUGGGCUCUGCUCCUCUCAUCUCUGUGGAAGGUCACCAGGAUGGAGGGAUCCGGGUGGUUUGUCGAUCAGCUGGCUGGUACCCAGAGCCUGAGGUGCCGCGGAAAGAUUUCAAUGGGCAACGUUUACCAUCACUCUCU